Molecule: microRNA precursor, 104 nt
Filed under: Marmota monax (woodchuck)
Lineage: Eukaryota; Metazoa; Chordata; Mammalia; Rodentia; Sciuridae
Source: RNAcentral
AGUAGAAUUCCUGGAUUAUAUAACAGUUCUCCUUCUAGUUUUUAAAGAAAUGUCCAUACUGUUUUCUGUAAAAAGGCUGCAUAAUUUAUAUUCCCACCAAGAAU